ACGGAGGGUGCAAGCGUUACUCGGAAUCACUGGGCGUAAAGGGUGCGUAGGCUGACUUUUAAGUCAGGCGUGAAAUCCAAUGGCUUAACCAUUGAACUGCGUUUGAAACUGUGAGUCUAGAGUUCAGGAGAGGAAGAUGGAAUUACUGGUGUAGGGGUAAAAUCCGUAGAUAUCAGGAGGAAUACCGAUGGCGAAGGCGAUUUUCUGGGACUAUACUGACGCUGAGACGCGAAAGCGUGGGGAGCAAACAG
RNAcentral lists this ribosomal RNA (251 nucleotides) under uncultured prokaryote. Its description in RNAcentral is "partial 16S rRNA". It matches the Rfam family "Bacterial small subunit ribosomal RNA", at positions 525 to 775 of the family's 1533-position model. The record is from RNAcentral.